Molecule: ribosomal RNA, 655 nt
Filed under: Malassezia furfur
Lineage: Eukaryota; Fungi; Basidiomycota; Malasseziomycetes; Malasseziales; Malasseziaceae
Description: partial 26S ribosomal RNA
Rfam family: Eukaryotic large subunit ribosomal RNA
Source: RNAcentral
CUUUAAGGGGGGGGGGGGAAACCCCCCUCUCUUUUUUAAAGGGGGUUUCCCUAGUAACGGCSRGUGMRGRGGGARRRGCUSARAUKURARAAUGCUGGUACCUUCGGUAUCCGCGUUGUAACCUCGAGACACGUUUUCCGUGCGGCGCUAUGGACAAGUUCCUUGGAACAGGACAUCGUAGAGGGUGAAAAUCCCGUACUUGCCAUGGAUGUACCGUGCUUUGCGAUACGUGCUCUAAGAGUCGAGUUGUUUGGGAUUGCAGCUCAAAAUGGGUGGUAGACUCCAUCUAAAGCUAAAUAUCGGGGAGAGACCGAUAGCGAACAAGUACCGUGAGGGAAAGAUGAAAAGCACUUUGGAAAGAGAGUUAAAAGUACGUGAAAUUGUCGAAAGGGAAGCGCUUGAAGUCAGCCAUGCCGCUCAGGACUCAGCCUGGCUUUUGCUUGGUGUAUUUCCUGGGUAGCAAGUCAGCAUUGGUUUGGAUCGUCGGAGAAGCAUAGUCGGAAUGUGGCGCCCUCGGGCGUGUUAUAGCCUUCUAUUGGAUACGACGAUCUAGACCAAGGAACGCAGCGCGCCUUUAUGGCGGGUCYYCRGACRCCUUCGCGCUUAGGUGUUGGGGGGUUUAAUAGAGGGAGGGGAGGGAGGCCCCCCAAAAAGA